RNAcentral lists this small nuclear RNA (107 nucleotides) under Neotoma lepida (desert woodrat). The record is from RNAcentral. Lineage: Eukaryota; Metazoa; Chordata; Mammalia; Rodentia; Cricetidae.
GUGCUCACUUUGACAGCACAUACACUAAAAUUGGAACAAUACAGAGGAGAUUAGCGUGGCCCCUGCACAAGGAUGACACGCAAAUUUGUGAGCAUUAUGGGUGGGAU